AGAGUUUGAUCCUGGCUCAGAGUGAACGCUGGCGGCGUGCUUAACACAUGCAAGUCGAACGAGAACGGGUUAUAGCUUGCUAUAACUGUCAGCUAAGUGGCGCACGGGUGAGUAAUAUAUAGGUAAUGUGCCUUAGAGAAGAGAAUAAUUGUUGGAAACGACUUGUAAUGCUCUAUAUGCCCUUAAUACAAAAGUAUGCAGGGGAAAUAUUUAUAGCUCUAAGAUCGGCCUGUACGGUAUCAGCUUGUUGGUGAGGUAAUGGCUCACCAAGGCUAUGACGCCUAACUGGUUUGAGAGGAUGAUCAGUCACACUGGAACUGAGACACGGUCCAGACUCCUACGGGAGGCAGCAGUGGGGAAUAUUGCACAAUGGACGAAAGUCUGAUGCAGCAACGCCGCGUGGAGGAUGACACAUUUCGGUGCGUAAACUCCUUUUAUAUGAGAAGAAAAUGACGGUAUCAUAUGAAUAAGCGCCGGCUAACUCCGUGCCAGCAGCCGCGGUAAUACGGAGGGCGCAAGCGUUACUCGGAAUCACUGGGCGUAAAGAGCGUGUAGGCGGGUAUUUAAGUUGGAAGUGAAAUCCUAUGGCUCAACCAUAGAACUGCAUUGGAAACUGGUACCCUUAGAGUAUGGGAGGGGGGAGAUGGAAUUAGUGGGUGUAGGGGUAAAAUCCGUAGAUAUCACUAGGAAUACCGAAAGCGAAGGCGAUCUCCUGGAACAAUACUGACGCUAAGGCGUGAAAGCGUGGGGGAGCAAACGGGAUUAGAUACCCCGGUAGUCCACGCCCUAAACGAUGUUCACUAGUCGUCGGGAUGCUAGUCAUCUCGGUGAUGCACUUAACAGAUUAAGUGAACCGCCUGGGGAGUACGGUCGCAAGAUUAAAACUCAAAGGAAUAGACGGGGACCCGCACAAGUGGUGGAGCAUGUGGUUUAAUUCGACGAUACGCGAAGAACCUUACCUGGCCUUGACAUAGAAAGAAUUUAGCAGAGAUGUAAAAGUGCUAGUUUACUAGAGCUUUCAUACAGGUGCUGCACGGCUGUCGUCAGCUCGUGUCGUGAGAUGUUAGGUUAAGUCCUGCAACGAGCGCAACCCUCGUGUUUAGUUACUAACAGUUCGGCUGAGGACUCUAGACAUACUGCCUGGGCAACCAGGAGGAAGGUGAGGACGACGUCAAGUCAUCAUGGCCCUUACGGCCAGGGCUACACACGUGCUACAAUGGGGUAUACAAAGAGCCGCAAUACCGCGAGGUGGAGCAAAUCUCAUAAAAUAUCUCCCAGUUCGGAUUACACUCUGCAACUCGAGUGUAUGAAGUUGGAAUCGCUAGUAAUCGUAGAUCAGCAAUGCUACGGUGAAUACGUUCCCGGGUCUUGUACUCACCGCCCGUCACACCAUGGGAGUUGAAUUCAUUCGAAGCGGGGAUGCUAAAAUAGCUACCUUCCACAGUGGAUUUAGUAACUAGGGUGAAGUCGUAACAAGGUAACC
RNAcentral lists this ribosomal RNA (1483 nucleotides) under uncultured bacterium. Its description in RNAcentral is "bacterial SSU rRNA". It matches the Rfam family "Bacterial small subunit ribosomal RNA". The record is from RNAcentral.